UCUGUCGCUCAGUUGGUUAGAGCACUGCACUGGAGUCACAGGGCUGCAGGUUCGAUUUCUGUCAAUAGAA
Non-coding RNA from Paramuricea clavata, 70 nucleotides. Lineage: Eukaryota; Metazoa; Cnidaria; Anthozoa; Malacalcyonacea; Plexauridae. The record is from the annotation of a GenBank genome assembly.